GCGGGAGUAGCUCAUCGGUAGAGCAUGACAUUUGGGAUGCCAGUGUAAUGGGUUCGAUUCCCAUCUCCCGCU
Molecule: transfer RNA, 72 nt
Filed under: candidate division WWE3 bacterium RBG_16_37_10
Lineage: Bacteria; candidate division WWE3
Description: tRNA-Pro
Rfam family: tRNA
About the family: Transfer RNA (tRNA) molecules are approximately 80 nucleotides in length. Their secondary structure includes four short double-helical elements and three loops (D, anti-codon, and T loops).
Source: RNAcentral